GCUGCGCUUGUACUGUGCAAGUCUUACCUUUUCACACUUUGUGUAAAUCUUAGCUGGAAAGCCAGAAUGAACUGAAUCAGAAUGAAAUAGAUAAUAUCAACAACCUGGCCAUCAACUGGGACUUGCCAGCAGUCAGCAACAGCAACAGAAGGUGGUCGGCAGAAACCAUUCUCCACCAUGGGGUUAUUGGUCGACGUGAAAAACAGAUGUCUCCGCUGCGGAGAGGACUCAAAGAUACAGGUGUUUUGAGAAUGAUAAAAGAACGACCCAGUUUAACUGCAGGACUGUUUCCCAGAUCUUCUGCACUGCUGAUGGAACCAGAGAUGAUACUUAGGAGAGUCACCUGGCCAGAGCCUGACAGUGAUGAAGAUGAAACCCCUUUGAACCUGGAGCAAUCUUGUGAUGUUACGGCUUUUCUCCCAGUGGCUUCAACCUGCCUCACGACACUGAAACUUCCUUUAAGAUGCAGAACCUUUCUUGCAUUUACAGAAGCAACGAGAGCCGCCGUUUCAUCCACAAGGUUUGGCUUUGGCCUUAUCGGAGUUGUAAUAUUUAAGUAUUCAUGAACUGCAUAUUUAGGAAAACAUUUUAAUGGCAUGUUCGUUGUCUACAGUAUUUUUCACAUUUCUUGCUUUUAUAAAAAUGCAUGCUCUUGACAGGAAGCUUUAAAGAGCUCUCAUUGCAGUGGUGGAAAUUCUAAUGAGUAAAGUGAAGUUAACCUUGAGUUAAAUGAAGAACAAAUGUUAAAGAAAACUACUUGUUUCUCUCUCUUUUUUUUUUAUUCUUAGGAAAUUUUGUAGUUCAGGCAUUUGUCGAAAUAAACUCGCCAAAGGAAAA
This is a long non-coding RNA of Sinocyclocheilus grahami, 837 nucleotides long. RefSeq lists it as uncharacterized. Lineage: Eukaryota; Metazoa; Chordata; Actinopteri; Cypriniformes; Cyprinidae. The transcript has 3 exons. The record is from RefSeq and is a predicted model, not a curated record.